CCUACGGGCGGCAGCAGUGAGGAAUAUUGGUCAAUGGGCGCGAGCCUGAACCAGCCAAGUCGCGUGAAGGAUGACUGCCCUACGGGUUGUAAACUUCUUUUAUAAAGGAAUAAAGUGAGGCACGUGUGCCUUUUUGUAUGUAUUUUAUGAAUAAGGAUCGGCUAACUCAGUGCCAGCAGCCGCGGUAAUACGGAGGAUGCGAGCGUUAUCCGGAUUUAUUGGGGUUAAAGGGAGCGUAGAUGGGUUGUUAAGUCAGUUGUGAAAGUUUUCGGCUCAACCGUAGAAUUGCAUUUGAUACUGGCAGCCUUGAGUACAGUAGAGGUAGGCGGAAUUCGUGGUGUAGCGGUGAAAUGCUUAGAUAUCACGAAGAACUCCGAUUGCGAAGGCAGCCUACUAAACUGCCACUGACAUUGAUGCUCGAAAGUGUGGGUAUCAAACAGGAUUAGAUACCCUUGUAGUC
RNAcentral lists this ribosomal RNA (460 nucleotides) under uncultured bacterium. Its description in RNAcentral is "partial 16S ribosomal RNA". It matches the Rfam family "Bacterial small subunit ribosomal RNA", at positions 338 to 795 of the family's 1533-position model. The record is from RNAcentral.